Molecule: ribosomal RNA, 393 nt
Filed under: uncultured bacterium
Lineage: Bacteria
Description: partial 16S ribosomal RNA
Rfam family: Bacterial small subunit ribosomal RNA
Source: RNAcentral
UGGGGAAUAUUGCACAAUGGGCGAAAGCCUGAUGCAGCAACGCCGCGUGAGGGACGACGGCCUUCGGGUUGUAAACCUCUUUUAGCAAGGAAGAAGCGAAAGUGACGGUACUUGCAGAAAAAGCGCCGGCUAACUACGUGCCAGCAGCCGCGGUAAUACGUAGGGCGCAAGCGUUAUCCGGAAUUACUGGGCGUAAAGAGCUCGUAGGCGGUUUGUCGCGUCUGCUGUGAAAACCCGAGGCUCAACCUCGGGCCUGCAGUGGGUACGGGCAGACUAGAGUGCGGUAGGGGAGAUUGGAACUCCGUGGUGUAGCGGUGGAAUGCGCAGAUAUCAGGAAGAACACCGAUGGCGAAGGCAGAUCUCUGGGCCCGUAACUGACGCUGAGGAGCGAAA